GAUGAACGCUGGCGGUGUGCCUAACACAUGCAAGUCGAGCGAACGGACGAGAAGCGUGCUUCUCUGAUGUUAGCGGCGGACGGGCGAGUAACACGUGGAUAACCUACCUAUAAGACUGGGAUAACUUCGGGGAACCGGAGCUAAUACCGGAGAAUAUUUUGAACGGGUUGGUGCAAAAGUGAAAGACGGUCUUGGUGUCACUUAGAGAUGGAUCCGGGUUGCAUUAGCUAGUUGGUAAGGUAACGGCUUACCAAGGCGACGAUGCAGAGCCGAUCUGAGAGGAUGAUCAGCCACACUGGAACUGAGACACGGUCCAGACUCCUACGGGAGGCAGCAGUAGGGAAUCUUCGACAAUGGGCGCAAGCCUGACCCAGCCACGCCGCGUGGGUGAUGAAGGUCUUCGGAUCGUAAAGCUCUGUUAUUAGGAAAGAACAUAUGUAUGAUUAUCUCUCCACGUCUUGACGGUACCUAAUCAAUAAGCCCCGGCUAACUUCGUG
This 497-nucleotide ribosomal RNA is filed under the name uncultured bacterium. RNAcentral describes it as "partial 16S ribosomal RNA". It matches the Rfam family "Bacterial small subunit ribosomal RNA", at positions 28 to 507 of the family's 1533-position model. The record is from RNAcentral.